UCAUAUGUAAAUGUUUUAUUAAAUGGAUCUAAAAGGAAAAUUCAUAUCAUUCCAUAUUCCCAUUUUAGCAAACCAAUUAUGACCCACUAUAAAGCAGGCGUUUGUUUCUAAAUAAACCCUAUACGGUCGAAUCCACCGGGAGAGAAAUUCCUCUGUGCCGAGAGUACGCGAGAAACUAGCACUUGUUUGCGUCGCCGAGCCCGGAGCCACAGGCACUCGCAAUUUGUGGCGCCGUGCUUCUUUUUCGAUCCCAAUGGUGAGCUCUGCUCUUGAUGAGUGUCCAAGGCUUUUUCCAUCUCACGUUAAUUUCUUGCCGUUAUUUCAUGUUAGGGGAAGUUUCUUUUUUUUUUUGAAUUGAUUUUGUUUUUUAGGGGAAUGGGUGAUGUUUUGGGACUAUGUUUUUGUUUUUCUUGCAAGACAUGUUUUCUUAACCCCAAUUUUUUGAGGCAAUGGCUGAACUUCAGACUUGGAUUUGAAAACCUUGGAGAUAUUAAGCUAAAAUUAAGGCCCCAAAGAAGAAGCCAAAGGAGUCAAAGUUAAGAAUGUUUGUAUGUUCGCUUCUUACUUUGGUGUUGCAUCUUGGAUACGAUGGUAUACAGCUUAUAUCUCACUUCCAUGGUAUAUUUGCUGAGUAAUCCAGACAUCCUAAGUUGCUAUCAAGUUCUUUGCUAUAUGUCCCACUUCUAUGGCGUAUCUAGCAACAUAUUCUUGUUUCUUAGCUCUCAAAUUACCCUUAUUUAGUAUACAAUUUUGUAUCUCACUUCCAUGGUGUAUUUACCGAGUGAUCCGGACAUCCUAAGUUGCUAUCAAGUUCUUUGCCAUAUGUCCCACUUCUAUGGUGUAUCUAGCAACAUAUUAUAGUUUUAGCUCUUAAACUGCAGUUAUUCUUCGAAACAGAAGGCUAAACAAAGCAGUGCUAUUUCUGUCUUUAUGAUUUCGAUAUCCAGAUGAAAUUAUU
Molecule: long non-coding RNA, 958 nt
Filed under: Elaeis guineensis (African oil palm)
Lineage: Eukaryota; Viridiplantae; Streptophyta; Magnoliopsida; Arecales; Arecaceae
Description: long non-coding RNA (EGUI_LNC072447)
Source: RNAcentral